RNAcentral lists this long non-coding RNA (1638 nucleotides) under Malus domestica (apple). RNAcentral's name for it is "long non-coding RNA (MDOM_LNC005523)". The record is from RNAcentral. Lineage: Eukaryota; Viridiplantae; Streptophyta; Magnoliopsida; Rosales; Rosaceae.
GUACUGUCAGGCCUAGCAAUUAGGUAAAGUGCUUUUCAAUCACUCUUGAAAGAGUGAUGCGCUCGAAACGCGUCGACCCGAGAAAUCAUGCAACUAGCUCUGUGUAAAUAUCACCACCUCUUCACAUGUUGAGUGGACAGUGGAGGAAUGUCUUUAUAGGUUGUGUCUACAUGUUUGCUAAAGUCCUAGAUUUUUGCAAUUCUUUGGCGAAUACUUCUUCGAUUUUGUUGUUUUGGGGUGCAUUUGAUAUCUACAAAUUCAAAUUUCUUUGCUUUUUUAUUUGGUAGUUUUACCCAUGGAAUAUUAUAAUUUAUGUGAGUAUAAUUGUUAGCAUUCUGUUUCUAUAUAGAAAGAACAUGAGCUCUUCAGUAAUGCUGUCAAAUUUGAGUUUUUUAGCAUUUUGUUUCAAUGGGUGGAAUUUUUAGCAUCUGUUUCUUUUAGCAUUCUGAUACACCAGUCCAAAGAAUCUGUUCUAACAAAAAAAUGUAACUGGACCAGUAGACCCGACCCGUUUCAAACUGGCCCGAUUAGGUUUGGUUUCAAAGUUCAAAACUCUUAUACCCGGCCCGGCCCACCCCAUGAUAAUUUAAAGCAGAUCCGUUAUGGUCCCUUCAAAUUUGGACUCUACCCAACCCGUGCCCAUCCCUACAAUAACCUAAGAAUUUUUUUGACGCUACUCCAAAUGUGCACUUUUUCGAAUUAAGCGUCAAGUUGUAUAUUUGUAGCAGGUCGAAUCAGUCUUGUAUUUGUAUGUGAGUGAGGUAAUCCUUCUUCUCCUUAUUUUUAACCUCCAUGUCAUUGACAUAUGCAUCCAUUGUCUUUUUAAGUUCUCUUGAAGAUCUUGUUCAUCAAUCUUUGAUCGGUUACUCCUACAUUCUUUUGUCUGAAAGGCAUAACACAAAAAAAAUAUGUACAUCUAUCAAACGAAAGAUGUAACAAAAUUAAACAAGCGUGUAAUAGAAUAAUCAUCAUUCGUUUCUAACUGUUGGGACUGUGCCUUUUUCCACUUCGGUCUUAUCGGGACCAUCUUUAAGUUGUCUUUCUAUAUUAACUGUCAUAAUCUACACAUCAUAUGUCUAAGUAGAAACCUAAUCCUGAGGGAUUAAAGGACUUACAUACAUCAUAUGUGUAAGUAUCAACCUAAUCCCGGGUGAUUAAGGGAGUCACAUAAAUAUGGAGAUAGCAAAUUCCAACUUCAAGAAAUAACAAGGACGAGGCACCCCACUUUAUUAAAUGUGAAGGUAAAUUUAAAGUUUUUAAAACAUACAAGUGUCAAACCAUGCCCUCAUGUUAUACCGAUAAUCACAUGGCUCAAUUAUUUGGUGUAGUCCAUGAUCAUCAUUAUUUUUUGGGUUUUUAUCACAAAUGAUCUCUGAAAUUAACCAACCCCAUCAAGAUGGCACCUGAAAUUGAAAAUCAAUCAAAGUAGUUCCUAGAAUUAGGUGUCGCAAAUCAAUGUAGUUCUUCCAUCAUAAUUCCGUUAAAAAUUAUGUUAUGUGGCGAUGUGGCAAAUGAGGUGGCACACUUUAUAUAUAAAAAACUAAUAAAUAUUAUUAAAAACUAAAAAAAAAUCAUUUAAUAUAUAUUUUUUUCUUCUUCUUCUCUUCUUCUUUCUAGGUUGCAGCGAACUUGGGCUUU